CCGCCAGACUCCUACGGGAGGCAGCAGUGGGGAAUAUUGCACAAUGGGGGAAACCCUGAUGCAGCGACGCCGCGUGAGUGAAGAAGUAUUUCGGUAUGUAAAUCUCUAUCAGCAGGGAAGAAAAUGACGGUACCUGACUAAGAAGCCCCGGCUAACUACGUGCCAGCAGCCGCGGUAAUACGUAGGGAGCGAGCGUUGUCCGGAAUUACUGGGUGUAAAGGGAGCGUAGGCGGGGAUGCAAGUUGGGUGUCAAAACUGCCGGCUCAACUGGUAGUCGCACUCAAAACUGCAGCUCUUGAGUGAAGUAGAGGCAGGCGGAAUUCCUAGUGUAGCGGUGAAAUGCGUAGAUAUUAGGAGGAACACCAGUGGCGAAGGCGGCCUGCUGGACGGUGACUGACGCUGAGGCUCGAAAGCGUGGGGAGCAAACAGGAUUAGAUACCCGGGUAUA
This 448-nucleotide ribosomal RNA is filed under the name uncultured bacterium. RNAcentral's name for it is "bacterial SSU rRNA". It matches the Rfam family "Bacterial small subunit ribosomal RNA", at positions 328 to 794 of the family's 1533-position model. The record is from RNAcentral.